CGCUAGCACCUCCAUAAUGGAGGCUAUUUGAGAGUGAAAAGCCAUACAGUUAGCCAUUGUUAGCAGCUAGCUAGCGUUACCUAGAUACAAUCUAUCAAACAAAUCCUGUCUGCUAUGCGAAUUAAACACUACCUUGGGAGUUGAAAGCUGCCCCCACCGGACUCCGCACCAAGGGAGAGGGAGGCCAUAGCCGCAUUCUGGAAGUGGUAUGCGGCGAUGGAUGAGACGCUGCAGGGGUUGCCACUCCAUCAACCUACCAGUCAUCAUCUCCUCAUCCUCCUAAGGUGCAUCUGUGGGCUCCUCUCCCUCCCAGAAGGGUCCAGAUGUAGGGGCGGGAGAAGGAGAUAAUCCACCCACGUCUAACCGGCCUCACAACCACAGACCAUGCGUAACCACGCCAGCCCAGGAUCUCCACAUCAGUCUUCUAAACCUGCGAGAUUGUCUGAGACCAGCCACCCGGACUGAGACCAGCAACCGAAGAAUUUCUGCACAAACUGUCAGAAAAGUGGCCUUUUAUAAAAACGGAUUUCAGGCAAUUCUACAUAAUUUUACAUGACUGGAGACUUUGGCAGAAUGUUUUAAUACCGCACAAAUGAUCUUAAAUGACAGGCUACUUUGAUACGGACUAACUGAGAAUCUGAAAUCAAUAAAAACGACCAUAUCUUGAAUCCAUCAAUAGCCUAGGUGUGUGGAGCCGCAUAUUGUUGGCUACAAUAUGAGGAAAUUAGUCCUAAAAUGCUUUCCAGUUAAACUGAUUUGUCCAAUGAUGCGCAGCUCACUCGCUGGUGAUGGCCGAUGCAAUCGUGCCAAAAGCCUUUCUCUCUCGUUUUACUUUGUAAAACAAUAUUUGAAAGUUGAUCAAAAAUGUUGGUAGCCUACAGAUCAUUCUAUGUUCAGCAGGAGCUAUUUGCUUUUCAACCUGUGUUUUCCCGUGAUUGUAUUUGAAAUAUUGCUAAAGGCCUGUUUUGUCUGCAUGCUGUUUGUUCACUGACAGAUUUGCCGUGCGUACCCGCCUUGUUAUUAGGCUACACUCCACAUCUAUUAUUUAAAAGAAGCUAUUGGUCCUCUGACCAAAUGUGUAGUUAGCUAUUCUGAAAUUCUUAUUUUUUUUCUGAACAGACAGCAGUAACUUUGGAAAAUGUAUUUCAAUAUAUCAGGGGUGCUGCAGCUCCUCCAGAAACCUUUGCGUAACUAUGCUUCUACAAGGAAAUAAAGAGGCGCAACUCUGGAGA
Long non-coding RNA from Oncorhynchus tshawytscha (Chinook salmon), 1232 nucleotides. RefSeq lists it as uncharacterized. The transcript is spliced from 3 exons. Lineage: Eukaryota; Metazoa; Chordata; Actinopteri; Salmoniformes; Salmonidae. The record is from RefSeq and is a predicted model, not a curated record.